UGGGGAAUUUUGGACAAUGGGGGCAACCCUGAUCCAGCAAUGCCGCGUGUGUGAAGAAGGCCUUCGGGUUGUAAAGCACUUUUGUUCGGGAAGAAAUCCAUUGGGCUAAUACCCCGCGGGUAUGACGGUACCGGAAGAAUAAGCACCGGCUAACUACGUGCCAGCAGCCGCGGUAAUACGUAGGGUGCAAGCGUUAAUCGGAAUUACUGGGCGUAAAGCGUGCGCAGGCGGUUCAGCAAGUUGGAUGUGAAAUCCCCGGGCGUAACCUGGGAACUGCAUUUAAAACUGAUGAGCUAGAGUACGUUAGAGGGGUGUGGAAUUUCCUGGGUAGCGGUGAAAUGCGUAGAUAUAGGAAGUAACACCAGGGGCGAAGGCGACCACCUGGACUGAUACUGACACUGAGGUGCGAAAGCGUGGGGAGCAAACA
Molecule: ribosomal RNA, 427 nt
Filed under: uncultured prokaryote
Description: bacterial SSU rRNA
Rfam family: Bacterial small subunit ribosomal RNA
Source: RNAcentral